UACGGAGGGGGUUAGCGUUGUUCGGAAUUACUGGGCGUAAAGCGCGCGUAGGCGGAUUGGAAAGUUGGGGGUGAAAUCCCGGGGCUCAACCUCGGAACUGCCUCCAAAACUCCCAGUCUUGAGUUCGAGAGAGGUGAGUGGAACUCCGAGUGUAGAGGUGAAAUUCGUAGAUAUUCGGAAGAACACCAGUGGCGAAGGCGGCUCACUGGCUCGAUACUGACGCUGAGGUGCGAAAGUGUGGGGAGCAAACAGG
Molecule: ribosomal RNA, 253 nt
Filed under: uncultured bacterium
Lineage: Bacteria
Description: partial 16S ribosomal RNA
Rfam family: Bacterial small subunit ribosomal RNA
Source: RNAcentral